This 461-nucleotide ribosomal RNA is filed under the name uncultured bacterium. Its description in RNAcentral is "SSU rRNA". It matches the Rfam family "Bacterial small subunit ribosomal RNA", at positions 26 to 518 of the family's 1533-position model. The record is from RNAcentral.
AGAGCGAACGCUGGCGGCAGGCCUAAUACAUGCAAGUCGAACGGACCCUUCGGGGUUAGUGGCGGACGGGUGAGUAACACGUGGGAACGUGCCCUUUGGUUCGGAACAACUCAGGGAAACUUGAGCUAAUACCGAAUGUGCCCCCAUCCUUAAACAAGAUGGGUGGGAAAGAUUUAUCGCCAUUGGAGCGGCCCGCGUCUGAUUAGCUAGUUGGUGAGGUAAAGGCUCACCAGGGCGACGAUCAGUAGCUGGUCUGAGAGGAUGAUCAGCCACACUGGGACUGAGACACGGCCCAGACUCCUACGGGAGGCAGCAGUAGGGAAUCUUGCGCAAUGGGCGAAAGCCUGACGCAGCCAUGCCGCGUGAAUGAUGAAGGUCUUAGGAUUGUAAAAUUCUUUCAGCGGGACAUAAUGACGGUACCGCAGAAGAACGCCCCGGACUAACUUCGUGCCAGCAGCCGC